This 904-nucleotide long non-coding RNA is filed under the name Brassica napus (rape). Its description in RNAcentral is "long non-coding RNA (BNAP_LNC004136)". Lineage: Eukaryota; Viridiplantae; Streptophyta; Magnoliopsida; Brassicales; Brassicaceae. The record is from RNAcentral.
UCGAUUGAGGGCUUCCAGUUUUAGUCUUUCAUGCUCUGUCUUCCUUCCUUAUCUAUUGAGCUACCGGAAGAAAAAUAAAAAGGUGAAACUUGAGAUUUGUUUAAAUUAAAUAAUUAGAAGGGCAAAUAUAGAUGAUGAAAUGAAUGAGAUAAAAUACCUGCAAUAAUUCCUUUUCUUGAGAAGCUUUCCACUGUCGGAACUGAUCAGCAUCUCUAAUAAUCAAACAAAUAGGCAAUCAAAACCACACGCAACUGUACCCAAAUAAACCAUACGAUUAACAAAUAUAGAUCAAUCAGCUAAUAGCAUAAUAGAACACGUGAAGACUGGUUGUACUAUGUAACUGUAACUGCUUGAUCUCUAAAUUGUAGGUGACUCAAGACUUGCUGAAGCGUUGAUCCGUCCAUUCUCUCAAUAUUCGGACGUCGUUAGAGAUGCUUCCGCUGAUUAACUUAAUAUGAGAGAGAGAGAGAGAGAGAGAGAGAGAGAGAGAGUUGUGAAUUGCGUGUAUAUAGAUUGAGGUUGAGGCUUGAGGAUUUGAAAAGGUAGGUUUACAUAGGAAAUUUAUAGCAAUUAAGGGCUUUGAUGGUGGAGAAGGGACGUUAUGGUAGAGAUUCGGAACAACAUGAGGUAGGCUUUGAAGAUGAUGAAGGCGGAAAGACGGUGAGUAGUUUAAUUGGGCCACAAAUUAGGUUUCGUUGUAGUCUGUUGGUCUUAAAUCUGGGCAUUUUCUAAUGGAUUACAUUUGUUGAGUGACACGGAAGUAGCUGAUAUGUAAGUUUGGUUGGAUGUGAAUAUUUGUGCUUAUGUGGCAUAGCUUAGAAACCUUGAAAUUAGUUACUUUUAUAUAGUAGGAUAUUUCACGUCGAUCAAAGACGGAUCACUAUGAUGGUCUACCUUCUACGAA